Molecule: non-coding RNA, 487 nt
Organism: Giardia lamblia ATCC 50803
Lineage: Eukaryota; Fornicata; Diplomonadida; Hexamitidae
Source: Rfam
CAUCCGGUCGAUCCUGCCGGAGCGCGACGCUCUCCCCAAGGACGAAGCCAUGCAUGCCCGCUCACCCGGGACGCGGCGGACGGCUCAGGACAACGGUUGCACCCCCCGCGGCGGUCCCUGCUAGCCGGACACCGCUGGCAACCCGGCGCCAAGACGUGCGCGCAAGGGCGGGCGCCCGCGGGCGAGCAGCGUGACGCAGCGACGGCCCGCCCGGGCUUCCGGGGCAUCACCCGGUCGGCGCGGUCGCGGCGCGCCGAGGGCCCGACGCCUGGCGGAGAAUCAGGGUUCGACUCCGGAGAGCGGGCCUGCGAGACGGCCCGCACAUCCAAGGACGGCAGCAGGCGCGGAACUUGCCCAAUGCGCGGCGCGCGAGGCAGCGACGGGGAGCGCGCGAGCGAGGCGGGCCCACAGCCCCCGCCGCGGAGCCGAGGGCAAGGUAUGGUGCCAGCAGCCGCGGUAAUUCCAGCUCGGCGAGCGUCGAACGAAU